RNAcentral lists this ribosomal RNA (864 nucleotides) under Triticum aestivum (bread wheat). RNAcentral's name for it is "partial small subunit ribosomal RNA". The record is from RNAcentral. Lineage: Eukaryota; Viridiplantae; Streptophyta; Magnoliopsida; Poales; Poaceae.
AUGGCUGGAUUCGCUGAUGCACUGAGGCCGGAUAAGUUUACCGGUGUGCACUUUAAGAGGUGGCAGGUGAAGACCACGCUCUGGCUUACUGCUCUGAAAGUUUUCCACGCUAGUGUUGGUGCUCCAGAGGGAAUGACCGACGAAGAUCGGAGAAAAUUCCAGGAAGCCAAUACUAUGUUUGUGGGAUGCAUUCUGAGUGUUCUUGCUGACCGUCUGUGUGAUGUGUACAUGCACAUAAACGACGGAAAAAUUCUGUGGGAUGCACUGAAUGCAAAAUUCGGUGCAACAGAUGCAGGCAGUGAACUGUACAUCAUGGAGAGUUUUCAUGACUACAAGAUGGUGAAUAACCGUUCUGUGGUUGAACAAGCUCAUGAGAUACAGUGCAUUGUGAAGGAACUUGAACUCCUUAAAUGUGUUCUACCCGACAAAUUCGUGGCUGGGUGCAUGAUUGCAAAAUUGCCUCCUUCAUGGAGGAAUUUCGCCACAACUCUGAAGCAUAAGAGACAGGAGAUAUCAGUUGAAAAUCUGAGUGCAUCUCUUGAUGUUGAACAAAAAGCUCGGGCUAAAGAUACCACUGAAAAAGGAGGUGAGGUUCAGCCUACUGCUAACAUGGUGCAGAGGUACCCACAGAACAAGAACAAAGGGAAGAACAAACCUGUUUUCAACAAGCCUACCAAGACUACUACCUUCAAGAAGAAGAAGUUCAACAAGGCUGAGCUAGAGUGCUACGCCUGUGGGAAGCCUGGACACUUUUCCAAGGAAUGCCCUGAACGUGCAGACCGCAGAGGGAAAACAAGCUCCAAGACUGUCAACAUGGUGACCGCUAGCAAUACUGAUGGGUCGCAAGGGAUUCUUCCGUCCUAA